GGGUCAGUAGGUUGGUCGUGCCACCGGUACGUACUGGGCUCACUGAUUCCUCCUUCCUGAAGAACCGUAAUGCCAUUAAUUUGGUGUUGCGGGGAAACAGGACUGUUACUUUGGAAAAAUUAGAGUGUUUAAAGCAAGCUAACGCUUGAAUACAUUAGCAUGGAAUAAUGAAAUAGGACGAUCGAUCCUAUUUUGUUGGUUUCUAGGAUUGACGUA
This 216-nucleotide ribosomal RNA is filed under the name Glomeromycotina sp. RNAcentral's name for it is "partial small subunit ribosomal RNA". The stretch from base 40 to 216 matches the Rfam family "Eukaryotic small subunit ribosomal RNA", at positions 686 to 864 of the family's 1831-position model. The record is from RNAcentral. Lineage: Eukaryota; Fungi; Glomeromycota.